RNAcentral lists this ribosomal RNA (340 nucleotides) under uncultured Pseudomonadota bacterium. RNAcentral describes it as "bacterial SSU rRNA". It matches the Rfam family "Bacterial small subunit ribosomal RNA", at positions 29 to 351 of the family's 1533-position model. The record is from RNAcentral. Lineage: Bacteria; Pseudomonadati; Pseudomonadota.
AACGAACGCUGGCGGCGUGCUUAACACAUGCAAGUCGAACGGGAAUGUCGGGGCAACUCGGCUAGUACCGUGGCGCACGGGUGAGUAAUACGCAGGUAACCUACCUACCGCAGUGGAACAACUUCGGGAAACCGAGGCUAAUUCCGCAUACGUCUCAUCAUCGUAUUGGUGAUGAGGGAAAGGUGGCCUCUACAUGUAAGCUAUCGGAGGUAGAUGGGCCUGCGCACCAUUAGCUAGUUGGUAGGGUAAUGGCCUACCAAGGCGACGAUGGUUAGCUGAUCUGAGAGGACGAUCAGCCACACUGGCACUGGAACACGGGCCAGACUCCUACGGGAGGCUG